AUUGAACGCUGGCGGCAUGCUUUACACAUGCAAGUCGAACGGUAACAAGCCGCAAGGUGCUGACGAGUGGCGAACGGGUGAGUAAUGCAUCGGAACGUGCCCAGUCGUGGGGGAUAACUACUCGAAAGAGUAGCUAAUACCGCAUACGAUCUAUGGAUGAAAGCGGGGGACCGUAAGGCCUCGCGCGAUUGGAGCGGCCGAUGUCAGAUUAGGUAGUUGGUGGGGUAAAGGCUCACCAAGCCAACGAUCUGUAGCUGGUCUGAGAGGACAACCAGCCACACUGGGACUGAGACACGGCCCAGACUCCUACGGGAGGCAGCAGUGGGGAAUUUUGGACAAUGGGCGCAAGCCUGAUCCAGCAAUGCCGCGUGCAGGAAGAAGGCCUUCGGGUUGUAAACUGCUUUUGUACGGAACGAAACGGCUCUGGUUAAUACCCGGGGCUAAUGACGGUACCGUAAGAAUAAGCACCGGCUAACUACGUG
This 482-nucleotide ribosomal RNA is filed under the name uncultured bacterium. RNAcentral describes it as "partial 16S ribosomal RNA". It matches the Rfam family "Bacterial small subunit ribosomal RNA", at positions 30 to 507 of the family's 1533-position model. The record is from RNAcentral.